UGGGUGCGCGCGCGCAGAGUGGCCAGACCCCUCUCCACGCAGCUCUGGCUCUGUUCAAUUCGGCAAGUGCACUCACAGCAGAACUGCCACCAGUAUAACGUCUUGACGAUGGGCUCCAGGGUUUGACACUCCGCAGCGCCACCAGCUCUGUUUUCUCCCCAAGUAAGCCACUCUCUACCUCGCGAGCAGAUCGCCCUGUGCGCGCUACAAUCCGUGGGGCGGGGAGACCUGGCGCUCACUCAGCGAGCUCGACUGGUGCUGACGUCCAUUCAGGCCUUUAAAUGUCUCUGUCCCUGCGCAGGAGGGAACGGACUUUGUAGCAGUCACUUUGCCCGAAGGGAGACGCGUCUCUGCUUUUGCAGGCGGCAGCUCGGACUCCCCUCACUCUUCCCAGCGUUGCGUUUGCCUCUGUCUUUGCCUCGAGUUCCCCGCAGCCUCUCCAGCGGGAGGCGCUUUUGAUAUUCGCACCCCGGGCGUGAACCAACAGGACUCCCCAUGCCCUGUGCUUUUUCAGUGGGUUCGAAGAUCAGAGAUUGCGAGGUGCGCUCGGUGUUCGCUCAAGGAGCAGGGAGCUUCCUCCCCCUGAUUUUGGUAGGGGGUGAUUUGUUUUUCCCCCGAAAAGCGUCCUUCCCGCUCCUGAAGCUGCAACUUGUUUUGGUUUCUUCUCAGUCCUGUGUGUCGUUACAACAUCAAAGUUUUUCUCCCUUACCCUUCCAAAAAUCUAUCCUUUUAAUCCACUCUCCUCCCCCCGCGCUGUCUCCGCCAGGCCUUCUCGCUGUGCGGUGAGUGGAUAGCGGGCGCGAGGUGUGGCAGUGGCGGCGAAGAUUGGCGCUAUCAGGAGGAUCAAAAGGGAAGGAUCUGCUGCUGGGGGCUCCCGGGUGACCCUUUGCCAGACGAAAAGAGCUGGGUAAGGGCGCAGAAGAGGAGCCGGAACCUUCUGGGACCCUGGUGCCUGACACUGGAUUUUGAUCACCAUCCUUGUUGUGUGUCUCUGACCCUUUUUUUCCUCAAUUGGUAACUAGUCGAGAGAGAAGCGCUUGGCAGGAGCUCUCUGCGGGACCUAAGCUCCCUGGCUGCUCGGGAUCCCUACAUCCGCUGCUGCUGAAGGAGCAGAGGGGAGGACGCCAGCGGUUGCUUACUGGAGCCUGGAGGAAAAUGGAAACAUCAUUCCCUAGAAACAGUUGAAGUUGACAGACCUAGAGGUUGACGAAAGGACACGACACUAGGGAAUUUGCAUUGUCAUGUUUCGAAAUACCAUUCCAAAGACCUGCA
Pongo pygmaeus (Bornean orangutan) is the source of this 1272-nucleotide long non-coding RNA. RefSeq lists it as uncharacterized. The record is from RefSeq and is a predicted model, not a curated record. The transcript is spliced from 3 exons. NCBI's taxonomy places the organism in Eukaryota, Metazoa, Chordata, Mammalia, Primates, Hominidae.